Melospiza melodia melodia is the source of this 307-nucleotide long non-coding RNA. RefSeq lists it as uncharacterized. The transcript is spliced from 3 exons. The record is from RefSeq and is a predicted model, not a curated record. NCBI's taxonomy places the organism in Eukaryota, Metazoa, Chordata, Aves, Passeriformes, Passerellidae.
GCUCCCGCCUCUCCCGCGGGGCUGGGCGGGACCCGGAGCCGAAUUCCCCGGAGCAGAAUUCCCUGUUCGAGGCCGUGUUUUCGGGAAAAGUGGCCACGGAGACGCUGGUGGAUGAGUGGCUGGAGUGUACCGGCGGGACAGGGAGCCGCGUUCCUGGAGCUGCUCAACUUCACCGUGCGCUCCUGCGGCUGCAGGGGCGUGGUGACCCCAGAGAUGUUCCGGGAGCUGCAGAACUCCGAGAUCAUCCGGAGGCUCACGGAGACCUUCAGGAGGUACCGGGGGCUUUUCUGGGAAUUUUGGGAUUUUC